RNAcentral lists this ribosomal RNA (498 nucleotides) under uncultured bacterium. Its description in RNAcentral is "partial 16S ribosomal RNA". It matches the Rfam family "Bacterial small subunit ribosomal RNA", at positions 30 to 523 of the family's 1533-position model. The record is from RNAcentral.
AUUGAACGCUGGCGGCAUGCCUUACACAUGCAAGUCGAACGGUAACAGGUCUUCGGAUGCUGACGAGUGGCGAACGGGUGAGUAAUACAUCGGAACGUGCCUAGUAGUGGGGGAUAACUACUCGAAAGAGUGGCUAAUACCGCAUGAGAUCUACGGACGAAAGCAGGGGAGCGCAAGACCUUGAGCUACUAGAGCGGCCGAGGGCAGAUUAGGUAGUUGGUGGGAUAAAAGCUUACCAAGCCGACGAUCUGUAGCUGGUCUGAGAGGAAGAUCAGCCACACUGGGACUGAGACACGGCCCAGACUCCUACGGGAGGCAGCAGUGGGGAAUUUUGGACAAUGGGCGAAAGCCUGAUCCAGCAAUGCCGCGUGCAGGAUGAAGGCCUUCGGGUUGUAAACUGCUUUUGUACGGAACGAAAAGCCCCGGGUUAAUACCCUGGGGUCAUGACGGUACCGUAAGAAUAAGCACCGGCUAACUACGUGCCAGCAGCCGCCGUAA